CGCACAUUGCGCCCCUUGGUAUUCCGGGGGGCAUGCCUGUUCGAGCGUCAUUUCAACCCUCAAGCUUUGCUUGGUCUUGGGCUCUGCCGGCAACGGCUUGCCUUAAAAUCAAUGGCGGGGCCACCGAACCCUUCGCGUAGUAGUUAUUUUUUCUCGCGAUUGGGAUUCGAUUGGAACCAUAGCCUCACCCUAAUUUAACAUUGGUUGACCUCGGAUCAGGUAGGGAUACCCGCUGAACUUAA
RNAcentral lists this unclassified non-coding RNA (242 nucleotides) under Helotiales sp. RNAcentral's name for it is "partial contains 5.8S ribosomal RNA, internal transcribed spacer 2, and large subunit ribosomal RNA". Lineage: Eukaryota; Fungi; Ascomycota; Leotiomycetes; Helotiales. The record is from RNAcentral.